CACACACAUACAUGUCAUUACAUGGACAUUACAAGUCGUAACUUUCAGUCUUUCAAAAGUUCCUUCAAAACAAAUUAAAACGUUAAGAAACGGAGAUCGGGUAAUGAGUCUAAUUUUUUAAAGUAAUAGUUUCAGGUGAAGUUUUCACGUGUACCUGGCCAACUAGGUGCUCGUGACAAUAGAAAUAAAAUUGCCUAAAUCCAAUAAUCCAAGUUCGCAAGCUAUGUCUUCUGAAGCUAAACAAUUUCUGUUGCAAGAUUUUGUAAAUCUUCUAGAUAUUGAUGCCUUCGCCAGAUCCAAUUCUUUGAUGCUAUCUAUUUUGCGUCACCAAAGCAAAAAAACGUUGCUACUUAGGAUUUUGUGGUAAUCGCCACCUAGUUCUAAUUUAGGAGGACAAUGUAAGAUUGAUAGGUUCGAGCCUCGAGGUUAAUCCCUAUCAUCUGUUAUGGAAACCUACAAGAGAUUACUGGAAUUGAAGACUGAUAAUUUGUGAAGGUGUUCCCUUCUUUUCUGUGGCCUGUUUCCCUAACUAACCACUAAGCACUAACCAGGUCAAUCACUAUCACAAUCACUGAUAACCAGGAGGAUGAGGAGGGCUCUGGUCGAACGGGGACUUGGAAGGUGGAUUAUCUGAGAAAAACUUUUGGAGGGUCAUGAGUCUAUCCGGAAAUCCUGCUAUGACUAAUCGCUCCCUAGCAAAGCUGGCCUCGUACUCUUCUUCACCGGCCAGGUGUUGUUUAUGUUCCUGUCAUUGCUGUCCGAUGUGGCACGUUGUUGCAGCCUAUGCUGGUGAAAGCUCUUAUUGCAUGAACUUAAACUGGCUGUUCCUUGAUCCUGUUGUCAUGUUAUGGAAAUUGCAUAAUUAUUUUGUUAAAUUGUCAUCGUGACUAUGUAGUUUACCGUUAAUAUGUUAUGGAACAAAAAAGAAAUAUGGGGAUUUUUAUGUCAAACAAGUAAUAAACAUGUUUUCGGGAUUGGGAAAGGAAAGUGGAGGAUGUUGGAGGGGGGAUAUUUAAAGUUUGUGUAAAAAAACAGUUAAUUUAUAACCCUACAAACAUAUCCCUACCAAUUAAUCUCCAAACCCCACAAACUUAUACCUUUCUUCACACUCCAAAAACAUACACCUACCAACCCUCAAAUUUAUACCUUUAGCCAAAUAACCCAAUGUUAAACCUGAACGAUCUGAUAUCUGUAAUAAAUAGAAAUCGAAUGUUUUA
Daphnia pulex (common water flea) is the source of this 1217-nucleotide long non-coding RNA. RefSeq lists it as uncharacterized. The transcript is spliced from 5 exons. The record is from RefSeq and is a predicted model, not a curated record. Lineage: Eukaryota; Metazoa; Arthropoda; Branchiopoda; Diplostraca; Daphniidae.